UACGUAGGUGGCGAGCGUUAUCCGGAUUUACUGGGUGUAAAGGGAGCGUAGACGGCUUUGCAAGCCAGAUGUGAAAGCCCGGGGCUCAACCCCGGGACUGCAUUUGGAACUGUGUGGCUAGAGUGUCGGAGAGGCAGGCGGAAUUCCUAGUGUAGCGGUGAAAUGCGUAGAUAUUAGGAGGAACACCAGUGGCGAAGGCGGCCUGCUGGACGAUGACUGACGUUGAGGCUCGAAAGCGUGGGGAGCAAACAGG
This 253-nucleotide ribosomal RNA is filed under the name uncultured bacterium. RNAcentral describes it as "partial 16S ribosomal RNA". It matches the Rfam family "Bacterial small subunit ribosomal RNA", at positions 524 to 776 of the family's 1533-position model. The record is from RNAcentral.